RNAcentral lists this ribosomal RNA (253 nucleotides) under uncultured bacterium. RNAcentral's name for it is "partial 16S ribosomal RNA". It matches the Rfam family "Bacterial small subunit ribosomal RNA", at positions 524 to 776 of the family's 1533-position model. The record is from RNAcentral.
UACGUAGGGGGCAAGCGUUGUCCGGAAUCAUUGGGCGUAAAGCGCGUGUAGGCGGCUUGGUAAGUCUGCUCUGAAAUCCCGGGGCUCAACCCCGGAACUGCAUUCGAUACUGCCUUGCUCGAGUUCGGGAGAGGUGAGUGGAACUGCGAGUGUAGAGGUGAAAUUCGUAGAUAUUCGCAAGAACACCAGUGGCGAAGGCGGCUCACUGGCCCGAUACUGACGCUGAGGCACGAAAGCGUGGGGAGCAAACAGG